UACGAGGGGGCAAGCGUUGUUCGGAAUUAUUGGGCGUAAAGGGUGCGUAGGCGGUUUGGUAAGUCUUAUGUGAAAUCUACAGGCUCAACUUGUAGUCUGCAUGAGAAACUGCCGGGCUUGAGUAUGGGAGAGGUGAGUGGAAUUCCUGGUGUAGCGGUGAAAUGCGUAGAUAUCAGGAGGAACACCUGUGGCGAAAGCGGCUCACUGGACCAUAACUGACGCUGAUGCACGAAAAGCUAGGGGAGCAAACAGG
This 253-nucleotide ribosomal RNA is filed under the name uncultured bacterium. RNAcentral's name for it is "partial 16S ribosomal RNA". It matches the Rfam family "Bacterial small subunit ribosomal RNA", at positions 524 to 776 of the family's 1533-position model. The record is from RNAcentral.